UGGGGUAUCGGCCAAGCGGUAAGGCACCGGAUUCUUGAUUCCGGCAUUCCGAGGUUCGAAUCCUCGUACCCCAGCCA
Molecule: transfer RNA, 77 nt
Filed under: Salmonella enterica subsp. enterica serovar Tennessee
Lineage: Bacteria; Pseudomonadati; Pseudomonadota; Gammaproteobacteria; Enterobacterales; Enterobacteriaceae
Description: tRNA-Lys
Rfam family: tRNA
About the family: Transfer RNA (tRNA) molecules are approximately 80 nucleotides in length.
Source: RNAcentral